Bactrocera latifrons is the source of this 384-nucleotide long non-coding RNA. RefSeq lists it as uncharacterized. The transcript has 3 exons. The record is from RefSeq and is a predicted model, not a curated record. NCBI's taxonomy places the organism in Eukaryota, Metazoa, Arthropoda, Insecta, Diptera, Tephritidae.
CGGAAUUAUUUCAUAAAAAACUACGAUUUACAGUUUUUAAAACAUAUGGUUUUAAAUAUUAGCUGUACAGUGCUGCGAUCAAAAUUUAUUGCAAACAAACAACUAAAAGAUUAAUGUUGCCAUAAAUCAGCGUGAAAAAAUGUUUCCACCUUUCCAGAAUUGCAAUGAAAAUGAUUCACCCGAAGAAUGCUACGAAUAUCCAUUGCAAAAACGAGAAGCAUGAUUAAUAUGAGUUCGAUUAGCACAAAUGUGGUGAAAUAAAUAAGAAUUAAGUGAAACCAUAAUCAAUAAAGGCAGGAGAAAGACACACAUACACAUAUAUAGAAAUCAUAAUUUACCACGAAAGAGUGCUUUACUCUUAACUUAUAAAGUCAAAAAUUACGC